GCCUCUAUGGCUCAGUGGUAGAGCAUCUCACUUGUAAUGAGAAGGUCCGUCGUUCGAACCGGCGUGGAGGCU
RNAcentral lists this transfer RNA (72 nucleotides) under Venturia inaequalis. It matches the Rfam family "tRNA". From Rfam's summary of the family: Transfer RNA (tRNA) molecules are approximately 80 nucleotides in length. Their secondary structure includes four short double-helical elements and three loops (D, anti-codon, and T loops). Lineage: Eukaryota; Fungi; Ascomycota; Dothideomycetes; Venturiales; Venturiaceae. The record is from Rfam by way of RNAcentral. RNAcentral also lists the same sequence under 1 other name.